Molecule: unclassified non-coding RNA, 211 nt
Filed under: uncultured fungus
Lineage: Eukaryota; Fungi
Description: sequence contains ITS1
Source: RNAcentral
UAUUAAAGUUUUGACCAAUAAAGGUCUUUAACAGACAUUCUGAUAGACUUUGUUAUGUGUGUGUAAAAAUAACAUAGACACAGACUGUUACAUCUGGCCUACAAAAAGUUCACAGGUGAGUUGAAAAGGUGGAGUGCACAUUGCCCCGCAAAGGGCCAGCAACAUCCUGAGGAUUUCAAUAAUGAUCCUUCCGCAGGUUCACCUACGGAAA